UCUCCAAUUUUCUCACAAACAACUUCAACGCCGGCAAAAAGUCACCAAUAUUCGUCGCCCCGCCAAUCCUGAAAGUCUCUUGCACCAGGCCUUUGAAUCUCGUAGCUUCUUCAAUGUCCUCCACGUUCUCUCCGUAAUAUCUAUAGAAAAAAUAAUUAAGUAAUAAAAGUAUAAUUUUUUAACAACUUAAAUCCGUCAAUGGAGUGAUAAUAUAUUUUAACAUAAUAUUACAUUCAUCGGCCUUGGGUUAUAGUCUCACCAUCAAACAUUUUUAAUUAGUGAAGAAUGCAAUAUAUUGUGUUAACAGGUACAACUGAAAGAUAUUAUUUAGAAUACUAAAUAUAUUGGUGUAAAUAUAACAAAAAUUUCAAACAAAUAUCUCUCUGAGAUUUAACUAAAAUCUUAUAAAAUAUUAAAAUUCAAAGGUUGAACAGAUCAAACUUAAGGACCUAUUUGGCCAUAAAAAAGAUUUAUUUUUUUCGGAAAAUUUUUCAUUUAUUUUUUAAUCAUUGUUUGGCUAUGAAAAUUUAGUUCAAGCUCAAUUUCAAAAUUAUUUGAAAACUUGAAAAACUUUUAAAAAAAAACUCAUUUUUCAAAAAAAUUCAAUUCAAUACAUUCAUAAAAAUUCAAAAGCAGGGUAUCUCUCCAAAAAUAAAUCUAAUUUUCAAAUAUUAUUGUCCCUCAGAAAUUUUUUUUCUUCACUUUUUACAGGAAUUUCACAAUUCUUAUGUCUAAACGACCAUUAUUAUGAAUCCGCAAUUAGUAAGCGUGUUGAAACUAUAAAUAAAAGUGUACUAUCUUUGGUAAUUAAACAUUACAAGAAUACCUUUUCCCAGCAAUUGUCCGCAUCAUAACAUUCAGCAUCAGCUCAAAGAACAUAGACUUCAUGUCCACAGAUUUUUCAGCCAUGGCAGAGGAAUUAAGCCUCUUCACCAUGGAUUUCACUUCAUCAAUACGAAUCCCGUG
This 966-nucleotide long non-coding RNA is filed under the name Nicotiana benthamiana. RNAcentral describes it as "long non-coding RNA (NBEN_LNC038106)". Lineage: Eukaryota; Viridiplantae; Streptophyta; Magnoliopsida; Solanales; Solanaceae. The record is from RNAcentral.